Molecule: long non-coding RNA, 1786 nt
Filed under: Homo sapiens (human)
Lineage: Eukaryota; Metazoa; Chordata; Mammalia; Primates; Hominidae
Description: non-protein coding lnc-DDX3Y-2:1
Source: RNAcentral
AUGUCGCUGUGUUUCCAUACUCACAGUAGUGGCUGUGGUGGCUUCCAUAAACACAGAGGAGAUGGUGUCAUGACAGCCUGAAUGAUUUCUGCUCCUUCUCAUCCAGCAUGGGUCUCAAUUACAACUAUAGCCUUACGGUUCCAGCUCAGGCUAGGACAGCUCCAAGCUUCCAAUCUCACGACCACUUUGCAUCAACAGUAGCAGCCACCACCACUGCAGAACUCUUCCAAGCCUGUUAUUGUUCAGGGUCUGCUUCUAGAGUACUACCAUGCUGUCAGCCUCUGGCUCACCUGCUAACCACUUCCCUGACCUCCAGGGAUCCAUCAGGGCCAGGGUAAGGCCCAACCCCAACCCUGCCAGCCACCAUCACUUUAACCCCCCUAGGGCACUUUUACCUGCUUCAUCAAGCAGCAGGGUCCCAACCAGUACCCUUUAGGCCAGAGGUCUACCUCCUCUGCUGGUAGGGGGCACAGUUGUGGGGCCUUGGCAGUGCCUGAUGGUGCCAAAGGUGGCAAAACACCUGUCAGGCCAAAAUCAGAUGGUGGCCUGGGUCUAAGCACUCCUGGUGGCCACCACAAGCCACCACAUUAAAGUUGUGGGGAGCCCUUAGAAGCCACCAGCACCACCUGCCCUACCACCAGCAGUAUGAGUAAAGGCCCCUGCCUGGCAGGCUCUGUGGCCACAAUAAGACCUCAGUUUAGAAGAAGUUUAAAGCCAAUUUCUAUCUCCUAAAGCAUGGAGAGAAAAGUUACAUACAGUGCUUUUGGUUGUUUGUUAAACAUUGGAGGUGGUCAACUUCAAGUCUGCUUAGCCACAUAUGUUGCUGUACUUUUUUGUUGUUGUUCACCAUAAAUAUUAUGUUUCCAAAGAACUAUUGGAAGAAACUUUUAACCAGCUUGGUGCUAUUGAAAGGACCAUUUAAUAAUGGAUGAACAUGGAAUAUCUAUAGGAAAAAGCAUUGUUGAAUUUAUUCUAGAUUAGUAGUAGCAAGAAAGGCAUUUGAAUGAUGCAGUAAAGAUGUUUUCUUACUGACAACUCCUCAUCUAGUCAUUGUGAAACCACUCGAACAACUAAAUGGUGAUGACAGUAUUCUUGAAAAAAUUUCACAGAAGGGUCCAGUGUAUCAAAAGAGAGAUAAAUCGCUCCUCAUUUUGCCCUAUAUGACAUUUAAUUCUGAAUAUUCUUAGUGAUGGAAGUCCUUGGAUGAAACAAAACAGCAAAGGAAUCAUGUUGAAAAAACAUGAAUCAUGUAAAAUACUAAUUUGGAAAGUGAAAUAGGAGAUGCACUCAAGGAACAUCAAGGAAAUCUUUUGCACCAAGAUCUGAUAAGGCAGGAGGAAGAAUUAUGAUGCAUGCAAAAACUUCACAAUCAAGGAAUGCAGAAACAUAAAGAAAUGCAAUUGAGGCAAGAGGAGAAACGACAGAGGAGGAAAAGAUGAUGAUUCAUUGAUAUGGGAUGGAAGAACAGAUGAGGCACCAAAUUACAGGAAAAUUACAGUCAGAUGGGCUACAUGGAUCCAAGAGAAAGAGAUAUGAGAAUGGGUGGCACAGGAGAUCCCUAUGGUUCAGGAGGCCAGAAAUGUCCACCUCUAGAUGAUAAUGAUGGCAUAGGUUAUGACACUAAUUUUAGAAUUCCAUUAGAAACCACGAGUGGAUCCAUGAAGGAAAGUGUCAUGUGUAUGGAGUGAUUUGGGCAAGAAGACACAGGACUUGUGGGGGGAAGGGUCCUAGAUGAAUGGAGCCCAGAAUUCCACAGGGAUAUUGUAGAGGGAGAGAAGAGUAUAAA